CAACUUUCAACAACGGAUCUCUUGGUUCUGGCAUCGAUGAAGAACGCAGCGAAAUGCGAUAAGUAGUGUGAAUUGCAGAAUUCAGUGAAUCAUCGAAAUCUUUGAACGCACAUUGCGCCCUUUGGUAUUCCAAAGGGCAUGCCUGUUCGAGCGUCAUUU
RNAcentral lists this ribosomal RNA (159 nucleotides) under Pyrenophora graminea. RNAcentral's name for it is "small subunit 5.8S ribosomal RNA". It matches the Rfam family "5.8S ribosomal RNA". Rfam says of the family: 5.8S ribosomal RNA (5.8S rRNA) is a component of the large subunit of the eukaryotic ribosome. It is transcribed by RNA polymerase I as part of the 45S precursor that also contains 18S and 28S rRNA. Lineage: Eukaryota; Fungi; Ascomycota; Dothideomycetes; Pleosporales; Pleosporaceae. The record is from RNAcentral.